GAAAUGCGAUAAGUAAUGUGAAUUGCAGAAUCUCGUGAAUCAUCGAAUCUUUGAACGCACAUUGCGCCAUCGGAGUCCUACCCGAUGGCACAUCUGGUUGAGGGUCGUGAUCAAGAAAACAGCAGGCAAAGGGCUGUAUUAGAUUGACUGGUGAAUCCCAAUGUCGGCGACCGUCUAACACGUCGAUUGUGUUUCACCAUAAUGCUCAGAGGGGUUGCUUCGGCAGCUCGUCACACGGACGGGCACUUGCCAGCUGGGCUGGCGUCCCGCCACCGGGAUUAUGCAUUUAUACCGCGGUGGGUCGGAGGACUAGAGUUGCGCGAGUGCUGUACGUGCCUGACACACACACAAAUCGUAUUCCCGACCUCAACUCAGGUGUGAUUACCCGCUGAACUUAAGC
This 400-nucleotide unclassified non-coding RNA is filed under the name plant metagenome. RNAcentral's name for it is "partial contains 5.8S ribosomal RNA, internal transcribed spacer 2, and large subunit ribosomal RNA". The stretch from base 1 to 107 matches the Rfam family "5.8S ribosomal RNA", at positions 50 to 154 of the family's 154-position model. The record is from RNAcentral.